This is a small nuclear RNA of Suncus etruscus (white-toothed pygmy shrew), 104 nucleotides long. NCBI's taxonomy places the organism in Eukaryota, Metazoa, Chordata, Mammalia, Eulipotyphla, Soricidae. The record is from RefSeq and is a predicted model, not a curated record.
GUGCUCACUUUGGCAGCACAUAUAGUAAAAUUGGAACGAUACAGAGGUUAGCAUGGCACUUGCACAAGGAUAACAUGCAAAUUUAUGAAGCGUUCCAUAUAUAA